This is a long non-coding RNA of Pseudopodoces humilis (Tibetan ground-tit), 500 nucleotides long. RefSeq lists it as uncharacterized. The record is from RefSeq and is a predicted model, not a curated record. Lineage: Eukaryota; Metazoa; Chordata; Aves; Passeriformes; Paridae.
CUGACCGCUUUUGCCUAGUCUCGUGUAAUUUGAUUCUAAGCUCCUUUUGCCCCCACCAUGCAGCUCCAUGGAAACCCAUCACUUUCCACGCCGGCCCUUGUCAGCAGAGGAAUGAGUAAAUGAGGAGUGAGCAAAAAGCUUUAGCUGCACAUCUAGCAUCAGCAUGAACUGCAAAAGCAACAGAAACUACUCAGAAGAGCCUUCCUGCUCUCCAUUGCAGUGUCUAUCACCAGAGGGAUUAAGAUAAGAAUUCGAUAUUGCUGUCCUUCAAACUCUUUGGUUUAUGGGUAGAGGAGGCUACGUUUGGAAACUACAGCCUCCAAAACACAUGGAUAUAUCAUGGAGUACCUAUGACUGACAGUGGUUCUUUAGAAUUUCCUCUAGAGAUUCAGCCAGGAGACAAGACCACCAGAAGGAUGACAAUGCCUUUUGGGAAAACUAAACCAGUAGACAUUGGUAUUUUCUUGAACAGUCAUCCUCUUAAUGUUGAUAGCAAUUUA